GACGAACGUUGGCGGCGUGCUUAACACAUGCAAGUCGAGCGGUAAGGCCCCUUCGGGGGUACACGAGCGGCGAACGGGUGAGUAACACGUGGGUGACCUGCCCUCAGCUCUGGGAUAAGCCUGGGAAACUGGGUCUAAUACCGGAUAUGACUCCAUGACGCAUGUCGUGGGGUGGAAAGCCUUGUGCGGCUGGGGAUGGGCCCGCGGCCUAUCAGCUUGUUGGUGGGGUGAUGGCCACCAAGGCGACGACGGGUAGCCGGCCUGAGAGGGCGACCGGCCACACUGGGGACUGAGACACGGCCCAGACUCCUACGGGAGGCAGCAGGUGGGGAAUCUUGCGCAAUGGGCGAAAGCCUGACGCAGCGACGCCGCGUGA
Molecule: ribosomal RNA, 376 nt
Filed under: uncultured bacterium
Lineage: Bacteria
Description: bacterial SSU rRNA
Rfam family: Bacterial small subunit ribosomal RNA
Source: RNAcentral